RNAcentral lists this ribosomal RNA (563 nucleotides) under Escherichia coli. RNAcentral describes it as "partial 23S ribosomal RNA". It matches the Rfam family "Bacterial large subunit ribosomal RNA", at positions 1213 to 1776 of the family's 2925-position model. Lineage: Bacteria; Pseudomonadati; Pseudomonadota; Gammaproteobacteria; Enterobacterales; Enterobacteriaceae. The record is from RNAcentral.
CUUAUGCGUUGUUGGGUAGGGGAGCGUUCUGUAAGCCUGCGAAGGUGUACUGUGAGGUAUGCUGGAGGUAUCAGAAGUGCGAAUGCUGACAUAAGUAACGAUAAAGCGGGUGAAAAGCCCGCUCGCCGGAAGACCAAGGGUUCCUGUCCAACGUUAAUCGGGGCAGGGUGAGUCGACCCCUAAGGCGAGGCCGAAAGGCGUAGUCGAUGGGAAACAGGUUAAUAUUCCUGUACUUGGUGUUACUGCGAAGGGGGGACGGAGAAGGCUAUGUUGGCCGGGCGACGGUUGUCCCGGUUUAAGCGUGUAGGCUGGUUUUCCAGGCAAAUCCGGAAAAUCAAGGCUGAGGCGUGAUGACGAGGCACUACGGUGCUGAAGCAACAAAUGCCCUGCUUCCAGGAAAAGCCUCUAAGCAUCAGGUAACAUCAAAUCGUACCCCAAACCGACACAGGUGGUCAGGUAGAGAAUACCAAGGCGCUUGAGAGAACUCGGGUGAAGGAACUAGGCAAAAUGGUGCCGUAACUUCGGGAGAAGGCACGCUGAUACGUAGGUGAAGUCCCUUGCGG